GUCCGUUCCAUUCUGAAUAUACCGGUUCUCGUUAGAUCACCGAAGUUAAGCAUCAUUGAGCGCGGUCAGUACUUGGGUGGGUGACCACCUGGGAACACUGCGUGCGG
This 107-nucleotide ribosomal RNA is filed under the name Caerostris darwini. The record is from RNAcentral. Lineage: Eukaryota; Metazoa; Arthropoda; Arachnida; Araneae; Araneidae.